RNAcentral lists this transfer RNA (69 nucleotides) under Anchoa mitchilli (bay anchovy). RNAcentral describes it as "tRNA-Phe". It matches the Rfam family "tRNA". Rfam says of the family: Transfer RNA (tRNA) molecules are approximately 80 nucleotides in length. Their secondary structure includes four short double-helical elements and three loops (D, anti-codon, and T loops). Further hydrogen bonds mediate the characteristic L-shaped molecular structure. tRNAs have two regions of fundamental functional importance: the anti-codon, which is responsible for specific mRNA codon recognition, and the 3' end, to which the tRNAs corresponding amino acid is attached (by aminoacyl-tRNA synthetases). tRNAs cope with the degeneracy of the genetic code in two manners: having more than one tRNA (with a specific anti-codon) for a particular amino acid; and 'wobble' base-pairing, i.e. permitting non-standard base-pairing at the 3rd anti-codon position. Lineage: Eukaryota; Metazoa; Chordata; Actinopteri; Clupeiformes; Engraulidae. The record is from RNAcentral. RNAcentral also lists the same sequence under 1 other name.
GCUCACGUAGCUUAAACCAAAGCAUAGCACUGAAGAUGCUAAGAUGAACCCUGAAAAGUUCCGUAAGCA